CUACGGGGGGCUCCAGUGGGGAAUAUUGCACAAUGGGCGCAAGCCUGAUGCAGCCAUGCCGCGUGUAUGAAGAAGGCCUUCGGGUUGUAAAGUACUUUCAGCGGGGAGGAAGGAAGUAAAGUUAAUACCUUUGCUCAUUGACGUUACCCGCAGAAGAAGCACCGGCUAACUCCGUGCCAGCAGCCGCGGUAAUACGGAGGGUGCAAGCGUUAAUCGGAAUUACUGGGCGUAAAGCGCACGCAGGCGGUUUGUUAAGUCAGAUGUGAAAUCCCCGGGCUCAACCUGGGAACUGCAUCUGAUACUGGCAAGCUUGAGUCUCGUAGAGGGGGGUAGAAUUCCAGGUGUAGCGGUGAAAUGCGUAGAGAUCUGGAGGAAUACCGGCGGCGAAGGCGGCCCCCUGGACGAAGACUGACGCUCAGGUGCGAAAGCGUGGGGAGCAAACAGGAUUAGAUACCCGCGUAGUC
RNAcentral lists this ribosomal RNA (464 nucleotides) under uncultured bacterium. Its description in RNAcentral is "partial 16S ribosomal RNA". It matches the Rfam family "Bacterial small subunit ribosomal RNA", at positions 339 to 795 of the family's 1533-position model. The record is from RNAcentral.